Molecule: ribosomal RNA, 506 nt
Filed under: uncultured bacterium
Lineage: Bacteria
Description: partial 16S ribosomal RNA
Rfam family: Bacterial small subunit ribosomal RNA
Source: RNAcentral
AUUGAACGCUGGCGGCAGGCCUAACACAUGCAAGUCGAACGGUAACAGGAAGCAGCUUGCUACUUCGCUGACGAGUGGCGGACGGGUGAGUAAUGUCUGGGAAACUGCCUGAUGGAGGGGGAUAACUACUGGAAACGGUAGCUAAUACCGCUUAACGUCGCAAGACCAAAGAGGGGGACCUUCGGGCCUCUUGCCAUCGGAUGUGCCCAGAUGGGAUUAGCUAGUAGGUGGGGUAACGGCUCACCUAGGCGACGAUCCCUAGCUGGUCUGAGAGGAUGACCAGACAACCUGGAACUGAGACACGGUCCAGACUCCUACGGGAGGCAGCAGUGGGGAAUAUUGCACAAUGGGCGCAAGCCUGAUGCAGCCAUGCCGCGUGUAUGAAGAAGGCCUUCGGGUUGUAAAGUACUUUCAGCGGGGAGGAAGGCGAUAAGGUUAAUAACCUUGUCGAUUGACGUUACCCGCAGAAGAAGCACCGGCUAACUCCGUGCCAGCCGCCGCUGUAA